AUGUGUUGCUGGAACUUCAGUUCAUCUUGGGAACAAUACCCAACUGUCCUCUUUUGUUUUUGCUUUGGGGUGUUUUUUAAAUUAUAUGUUAAUUCAUUUAACACUAUAUCAUUUUUGAUAUAUUUGAAUUUAGGUAUAUCACAUUAUUAUUUGUUUUAUAUUUGUCCUCUGUUUUUCAUCCUUCUAUUGUACCUUUCUUGUCUUCUUUUGAGCUCGUUGAACUUUUUUUAGCAUUUAGUUUUAUUUAUCUUUUGUGAUUUUUACUAUAUCUCUCUGAAUUUUUUUGUUUUGUUUUGGCGGUUGCUCCAUGGAUUAUAAAGUGCUUACUUAACAUUUCAUAGUUUACCUAGAAUCAGUAUUUUACUAUUUUAACUGGAACUUUUAGCCCUCCAAUUUACACUAUAGUUUGUUACAUACUAUGUCUUUAUAAAUUGAGAAUGAAAUUUAUUUCAAAUGCCUUCAUUACUAAGGAAUAUUUUUGCUGAAUAAUGAUCUGGAUUGACAGUUCUUUUCUUUCAACAUUUUAAAAAUGGUGUUCCAGUAGUUAUUACUCAAAUAAAUAUAAUUGAAGGCUUGUAGGUGAGGGAUUUUUCUAAAGCAGCUUGGGAAAAAUAGUGGGCCUGCCUACGCUAUGGGUGCUUGCUGCUGAUUGGUUGCAGCAGAGAUUAAAUCAUAGCAGGUCAAAGCUGUCUCUUGAGCUGAGUAGCUCAUUGGUGGAGCAACAGUAGCAGUUUGGUGGGUCCAGGUGGAGCCAUCAGUGUCAGACAUGCAAAAAACUUAAAAAGAUAUUUCAAAAGGCCAAUGUACAAUAGUGAUGUUAUCUGAAAGAGAAAUUGGGGAAUUUGCAAAUCCUGUGACCAGUAUAUACCUUAGCAGAAUUCAGCUCCUCUCUUCCCCCUAGCCUGGUGAUCUUUCAUUAGCUUUAUAAAGGCAGUUGAGUUUUGGGGAAGAACUAUUAUAAUUUAAACUAUAAUUUAAAUAUCUUCCAAAGUUAGCUUGGCCUAAGACUAAAAAUAAUUAAGGUAGCUCGAAACCUAAAGGCAAGAGUAGGGAUUGGUUAGAUUAAAUCUCCCCCGCUGCCAUAUUUCCUUGCUGAUAUAAUUUCUGCAAAGGCAAGCUCAUAAUCAGUCCAUAUCUUUUUUGGAGGGCAAUUUGGCAGUAUCUAUUAAAUAUGAAAAUAUGUGUACUUUUGAUUCAGUAGUUCUACUAUAAGAAAUGAAUGCUACAGAAAUACUAUUAAUAUUGCCCAAUAAAUUUGUAUAUGACAAUAAAU
This 1273-nucleotide long non-coding RNA is filed under the name Callithrix jacchus (white-tufted-ear marmoset). RNAcentral's name for it is "lncRNA (ENSCJAG00000084431.1)". Lineage: Eukaryota; Metazoa; Chordata; Mammalia; Primates; Cebidae. The record is from RNAcentral.